CGCUCAGACACGCCAGCCAAGGCCUCCCUCACCGAGUGAAACUGAAAGCACCCGUAACACCAGAGGCAAAAGGUGGAAUUUCUGGGAGGCUGCUUUACUUACUUGCUUUGUAUAAACCCCAACAUGUGGCGCCUGUAAUGUGGGAACACGAUAUAAGGAAAUAACUCUAAAGGGAAGCAGAAGUGGGCCGUGCUGGUCCAGGACUGGGCAGUAAGCCGUAUUCACGGCUGCCCCGAACUACACUGUGGGGCUUCUGCAACCCUCAAUGCGCAGAGAGAGUGUGGACCGUUUGAUCGGCCCAAGGGGGGGAGGACGGGAGUAGAACGGAAGGAAAAGGGAACACCGGGUUUCGAACUUGUUAUUAAGUGAGUGGUUUAUAAGUGACAGAAAUAGGCUGAUUUUCACUCUUGGUAAAAACCAGUAAGGCUUAGAAAUGUGGGGAUUAUAUGGUCCCUAGUGUCACCUGUUGGCUAAUGAAGAACUAACAAGUUUUCAUCCAUCGAGAGAACUAUAUGCCUGGACAUAGAAGAAAUGGCUGAUUUCUGCAACGUCCCUCAGAACAACAGCCUCCCAAGGCUGAACUGGGGGCUGGCUGGGAGGUGGCCCAGCUGCUCUGGCAUCUGCUGAGGACAGCAGAAAAACAGCCAGUUUAGACGGAGCCUUCAGGCAUGACCUCACUGGCUCCCUCUCCUCUGGGAGCACCUUAGGACCAGGGGCCACAGGCAGAAUGUGGGGAAAAGUCCAAGGGUGCUUUUCAGAUCUGUAUUCAUGUCCUACUAUCUAUGAUCACGUGUAUUCUCCCAAGUGUGAGGAUCUCGGUCACCCACCUAUUUGGUGGUAGCAGUGACCCAGUUCUGGUUUUUCUUUCAUGUAUUUUUGGCACCUAGAGGAAGACACAGCUAGUAAAUAUAAAUUCAGAACUCUUCAAGAGUUUGUACCAACAUUUGCUUAAUGUUUCUGAGGAAGAGCCCAAAGAAAACAUAAAACCACAAUUAUCUCAUGAAUUCUGACUUAAAACCCACUUGUCUAUGGCUUGGAAAGCAGGCCUUGCACUCCUUUUGGAGGGCUUGCCCUCCUUUUUGCUUUCUCUUUUGUAAGAGCACAUUCAUUUUACACCUAACUUCCGGAGCUUGUGGUUGUCCUUUCAGAUGGUAACGAAGGUGCCAUGGAAUCCAUAAGGCAUUUUCACAAGCACCUCUGCUCGGCCCAGUUCUUCAAAGUUCUUGGCAUCCAAGACUAGAAGAAAAUUGCUUUCAUUCUAGAAGAGGAAAAACAAUACUGAAAUUUCUU
Molecule: long non-coding RNA, 1290 nt
Organism: Manis pentadactyla (Chinese pangolin)
Lineage: Eukaryota; Metazoa; Chordata; Mammalia; Pholidota; Manidae
Exons: 2
Source: RefSeq, a predicted model, not a curated record